RNAcentral lists this ribosomal RNA (217 nucleotides) under uncultured Pseudomonas sp. RNAcentral's name for it is "partial 16S ribosomal RNA". It matches the Rfam family "Bacterial small subunit ribosomal RNA", at positions 137 to 354 of the family's 1533-position model. The record is from RNAcentral. Lineage: Bacteria; Pseudomonadati; Pseudomonadota; Gammaproteobacteria; Pseudomonadales; Pseudomonadaceae.
UGGGGACGAACGUUCGAAAGGAACGCUAAUACCGCAUACGUCCUACGGGAGAAAGCAGGGGACCUUCGGGCCUUGCGCUAUCAGAUGAGCCUAGGUCGGAUUAGCUAGUUGGUGAGGUAAUGGCUCACCAAGGCGACGAUCCGUAACUGGUCUGAGAGGAUGAUCAGUCACACUGGAACUGAGACACCGGUCCAGACUCCUACGGGAGGCAGCAGGU